RNAcentral lists this ribosomal RNA (991 nucleotides) under uncultured Basidiomycota. RNAcentral's name for it is "eukaryotic LSU rRNA". The stretch from base 310 to 991 matches the Rfam family "Eukaryotic large subunit ribosomal RNA", at positions 1 to 664 of the family's 3401-position model. The record is from RNAcentral. Lineage: Eukaryota; Fungi; Basidiomycota.
AUCGAUGAAGAACGCAGCGAAAUGCGAUAAGUAAUGUGAAUUGCAGAAUUCAGUGAAUCAUCGAAUCUUUGAACGCACCUUGCGCUCCUUGGUAUUCCGAGGAGCAUGCCUGUUUGAGUGUCAUUAAUAUAUCAACCUUCUCUUUUUUGAGUUGUUUGGAUGUGGGGGUUUGCUGGCCUCUUAAAUGAUUCAGCUCCCCUGAAAUGCAUUAGCAGAACAACCUGUUCAUUGGCGUGAUAAUUAUCUAUGCUAUUGAAUGUGAGGGGCAGUUCAGCUUUCUAACCGUCCUCGGACAAUUCAUCAUUAAUGUGACCUCAAAUCAGGUAGGACUACCCGCUGAACUUAAGCAUAUCAAUAAGCGGAGGAAAAGAAACUAACAAGGAUUCCCCUAGUAACUGCGAGUGAAGCGGGAAAAGCUCAAAUUUAAAAUCUGGCGGUCUUUUGGCUGUCCGAGUUGUAAUCUAGAGAAGUGUUAUCCGCGCUGGACCGUGUACAAGUCUCCUGGAAUGGAGCAUCAUAGAGGGUGAGAAUCCCGUCUUUGACAUGGACUGCCAGGGCUUUGUGAUGCGCUCUCAAAGAGUCGAGUUGUUUGGGAAUGCAGCUCAAAAUGGGUGGUAAAUUCCAUCUAAAGCUAAAUAUUGGCGAGAGACCGAUAGCGAACAAGUACCGUGAGGGAAAGAUGAAAAGAACUUUGGAAAGAGAGUUAAACAGUACGUGAAAUUGCUGUAGGGGAAACGCUUGAGGUCAGUCGCGUCAUCCAGGGAUCAACCUUGCUUUUUUGCUUGGCUUACUUUCUGGUCGAUGGGUCAGCAUCAAUUUUGACUGGUGGAAAAAGUUCAAGGGAAUGUGGCAUCUUCGGAUGUGUUAUAGCCUUUGUUCGCAUACAUCGGUUGGGAUUGAGGAACUCAGCACGCCGCAAGGCCGGGUUUUUAACCACGUACGUGCUUAGGAUGCUGGCAUAAUGGCUUUAAUCGACCCGUCUGAAACACGG